This 624-nucleotide ribosomal RNA is filed under the name uncultured bacterium. RNAcentral describes it as "bacterial SSU rRNA". It matches the Rfam family "Bacterial small subunit ribosomal RNA", at positions 56 to 679 of the family's 1533-position model. The record is from RNAcentral.
UGCAGUCGAACGGAACAUGUCUAGCUUGCUAGAUGAUGUCGAGUGGCGGACGGGUGAGUAAUGCUUGGGAACUUGCCUUUGCGAGGGGGAUAACAGUUGGAAACGACUGCUAAUACCGCAUAAUGUCUUCGGACCAAACGGGGCUUCGGCUCCGGCGCAAAGAGAGGCCCAAGUGAGAUUAGCUAGUUGGUGAGGUAAAAGCUCACCAAGGCAACGAUCUCUAGCUGUUCUGAGAGGAAGAUCAGCCACACUGGGACUGAGACACGGCCCAGACUCCUACGGGAGGCAGCAGUGGGGAAUAUUGCACAAUGGGGGAAACCCUGAUGCAGCCAUGCCGCGUGUGUGAAGAAGGCCUUCGGGUUGUAAAGCACUUUCAGUUGUGAGGAAAGGUUAACGGUUAAUACCCGUUAGCUGUGACGUUAGCAACAGAAGAAGGACCGGCUAACUCCGUGCCAGCAGCCGCGGUAAUACGGAGGGUCCGAGCGUUAAUCGGAAUUACUGGGCGUAAAGCGCACGCAGGCGGUUAUAUAAGCUAGAUGUGAAAGCCCCGGGCUCAACCUGGGAAUAGCAUUUAGAACUGGCAGACUAGAGUCUUGGAGAGGGGAGUGGAAUUCCAGGUGUAGC